This 486-nucleotide ribosomal RNA is filed under the name uncultured bacterium. RNAcentral describes it as "partial 16S ribosomal RNA". It matches the Rfam family "Bacterial small subunit ribosomal RNA", at positions 28 to 523 of the family's 1533-position model. The record is from RNAcentral.
GAUGAACGCUGGCGGCGUGCCUAAUACAUGCAAGUCGAGCGAAUGGAUUAAGAGCUUGCUCUUAUGAAGUUAGCGGCGGACGGGUGAGUAACACGUGGGUAACCUGCCCUUGACUCUGGGAUAACUGCGGGAAACUGUAGCUAAUACCGGAUACGACCCUCGGCGGCAUCGCCAGGGGGUGGAAAGAAUUUCGGUCAAGGAUGGACUCGCGGCCUAUCAGCUAGUUGGUGAGGUAACGGCUCACCAAGGCGACGACGGGUAGCCGGCCUGAGAGGGUGACCGGCCACACUGGGACUGAGACACGGCCCAGACUCAUGCGGGAGGCAGCAGUGGGGAAUAUUGCACAAUGGGCGCAAGCCUGAUGCAGCAACGCCGCGUGAGGGAUGACGGCCUUCGGGUUGUAAACCUCUUUUAGUAGGGAAGAAGCGAAAGUGACGGUACCUGCAGAAAAAGCACCGGCUAACUACGUGCCAGCAGCCGCAGUAA